Molecule: small nuclear RNA, 99 nt
Filed under: Nannospalax galili (Upper Galilee mountains blind mole rat)
Lineage: Eukaryota; Metazoa; Chordata; Mammalia; Rodentia; Spalacidae
Source: RNAcentral
UCACUUUGGCAGCAUAUGCACUAGACUUGACCUGAUAAGAGACUUGUAUGACCCUUACACAAGGAUGACAGGCAAAUUCAUGAAACAUUCCAGAUUUUU